AUUAAUAGCUCACACAUUAUAUAUUAAUUGGAUGUACUCUUUCUUUUGCACAAACUUUUAAACCAUUUGAUACAAUUUGAAGCAGUUGCUUUGACUUUGCCGAAACCACCCUUAGAACCUGAAUUCUUGUUCUUGUCUAUUUCCUUUUGAGAUCUUGUCACAUCAUCUUCCAUGGCACCAAUACCACCAGCACCCCAUUGAUCUGUCCAACUUAGAGCUUUGCUUGCCAUCUUUCCUUGAUGCCAUCACCAUAAAACAACCUUAAACCUUUCUGAUACGAAGAUACAAAAUCUCAACAAAUCAUUACUACAGUGCCUGUGGUGAAAACUUGAGACAGAAAAGCUUAAAGACAGGAGCAAUACCCCCAAAUGGAAUGACCGAGAUUUUGACGCAGAAGAAUGAUUGAUGAAAGACUUGAAAUUUAAAAGGACUUGACAACUCACCUAUCUGUUUGAGUACAUGUUAAGAAUUGUGAACGCCUUACAAGUGUGUCCCCACCAACACCGAAAGAUCUUGUGGAACUUGAAGAUCCAGUAGUGGAAGAUGUUCUGCUACGAUUACUUCCUUUCUUAACUAAUUUAGUAACGUUGAAAGUUGAA
Molecule: small RNA, 599 nt
Filed under: Vigna angularis var. angularis
Lineage: Eukaryota; Viridiplantae; Streptophyta; Magnoliopsida; Fabales; Fabaceae
Description: Non-protein coding transcript
Source: RNAcentral